AUAUGGUGUCAGAAAGUGGGACCUGAAGCAAUCUCACCUUUGUGGACCAGCGGCCCCUGGAAAUGAGUUUGGUACCAACAUGAGUCCCCUUGUGAGCUCAUGGCUUCCACAGACCACCAGCUCCUCCAAUCAUGAGUCUUCUCAGACCAUCCCCGAUUCCUAAGACUGAAGGGAAAAAAAGGAACUUUUGGAGAUGCAGACUGCUAUGGAAGCAUCCUUGCCCAAAAAUAUAAGAGAGAUUCAUGGAAAGGACUUUGACACUUACUCUAGAAUACAGAUUUCUGAUAAACUUUCAGAUCAUAAAACCGAACUGGUAAGAAAUUACAAAACUCUAAUGGAGAGACUGAUGGCUUCAUAAAACUGCUAACAAAAGAUCAAGAGCAAAUAUUAAUUAGUGGACCUACAUGAACUGAGGAGGAUGCUGUAAUGUUUUAUUUUUCCAGAUUUAAAGAAAUCUUUUCUCUUAAACUAUCAACAUUUGGUAAGAUACACCUUUGUGAACAAGGAUGAAACAUUUACUUUUUCUCCCUACCCGCUCCCUCCAGAAUUCAGAACUCUCACUUAAAGAAGCUUUCCUGGAUUCCAAUUCAAAGGAUCCUGUUGGUGACAGCUAGAGCCUGGUGACUGGGUAUUCUGAAAGUGACAUCAGAAGAAGACAGCCCAUGAACCCCCUUGGAAAGGACCUACCAAGUGCUCUGACCACUGACACUGCUGCAGAACUAGAAGGCAUUGAACUUUGGAGACACAUCUCAUAGCUAAAGAAGGCUCCAUCUGACAUCUGGUCCUGUACAAACACUGCAGUCUUCCAAAUCAAAUCGACUAGGAAGAGAAGUGACCAAUAUCUGAGGCAGACAACUUUCCCCAGAUGGCUGGACUAGGCCUGUGCAACUUUUACUCACUGCUGCGUCUUACCUUAUUUUCUCCCUCUCUUUCUUGGAAAGACAGUACUCUUAUCCCCAACUCCCAAUCUGUUACAAAAGGGGGGAGUCUUUCUGACUGUUAGUUUUGUCAUCAGAAGCCUCACUUUAUACGUGAAUCUAGAGAUCCUUUAGUACAUUUAAUUACCAAUCUCUCUGUCAUUCCUCCCCUAAUUCCUUGUGCCAACUGUCCAGAACUUCUCGCCUAACCAAUCAAAACUCCAGAGAUUUAAGAAGUAACAUUUGUAAUUGUUGUAAAUAUCUCUUAUACUUGCGUAAACACCUCUGGUAAGUAAAAACUGAGCUAGAUAAAAUGUGGGCACAGGCCAAAUGGUUAAAUGCAGUGCCCACUGACAUCUCAUAGUUCUUUGAUUUCUUUAGCUGGCUGUCCUCAGGAAUUGACUUCUGGUUCAGAUCUAUUCUCCAAUUUGGACUUAGCAUUUUGUUUAUUAUUAUAGGAAUUCUCACUGUUAUAAAACUUUGUAUCUUCUGCAUAGCUGGAUGUUACAAAAACACCACACAGAUAAUGGUCACUCGGCACUUUAAAAUGAUUUCUGAGGCUUAUGAGCCUUCACCUGAGAAACUUUAAGGAACUACAGACAAUGUUUGCCUUCUCUGCUCUGGCACUCUUCUUGCUUAAAUGUGGCCUAAGUGCUCCUAAGGGAACCAGUUUCCCUCUUACGUGAAACAUGACAUACCAGGAUUGAGCAUUCCUGGUGACGAAGGAUCAAUGAUGCUUUGAUGGCUGAUCAACAAUGCUUUCCAAUAGCUGAUCAGCAAGGCUUUCAAAUGGUUAGUUAAUGAUGCUUUCAAAGAAAAAUCUCCAUCAAAAGGGGGAAAUGUCAAAUUGACUUUAGUGGAGCCAUUUUAAAAUGUAGUGGGAGUUGCCUUUCCAGAGAAACUGCCUUGCUGUCUUGAACCUUGGACUGGGCCAAGCCUUUGGACUGGGCCAAACUAGCAACUGUUUUACAAGCUAUUGUUUGAGAAGUCAGCAGAAGAACAGAUACCCUGAUCACAAAGACUGAGGAUUGUGGACUUGCUAAAGAUAGAAUCAACAGUCAACCAAUAUUUAGUCAAGACCAGCUCUCUGUCUCCAACUCCAAUUAAAAUUCUUUAUAAUACAACCUCCCCUCUUUGCCUUUAAAAGCCCCUGACUUUUAGUCCCUAGUGGGACACUAUUUGGGUUUCUACCUGAAUCUGUGCUCCCUGAAUUGCAAUUCUUUGAUCCCAUGUAAAUGCUGUGCCUCUUAAACUGAUUUCUGUUUUUGUAGGUUGACAGAUUUAUUGAU
Molecule: long non-coding RNA, 2206 nt
Organism: Diceros bicornis minor
Lineage: Eukaryota; Metazoa; Chordata; Mammalia; Perissodactyla; Rhinocerotidae
Exons: 4
Source: RefSeq, a predicted model, not a curated record